UCUCACUGACCCAGUUUUUGUCUCUCACCUGUAAAAGCCUAGAGGUAAACAGACCAGAGCUAGUGCUGUGUUUGAACAAUCUGCUGGGACCCAGGACUCUACACUUGCUGUUCUGCCAAGAUCAACAGGAAGCUGACACCUCAUGGCCUCACGUGGCUGCCCUUCUCCAGAAAACACAUCCUAUUUCCAGCGAGCAGGAAGUAGUGAGGGCUUUGGAAACAGAAUGAGCCUCAGGGUCCAGAAAACCCGGAUCCACCCUGUCUCCUGUUCUGGCAACUGUCUCCAAGCAGCUCCUGAGGCUGGUGCCCCAUGUUCGGUGUCCUGCUAAGAGGCCAAAUCUGGGAGUCAGAGCCUCGGAUGGGUUCAUCAGGCCUUCGCCGUGGCUUCCAGGCAGGAAUGUGAGAUAACAAGGAACCAGAUCUCUCAGCAUCCUGGCCUCCAGCAAGGACAUUCCAGAGCUGCUGCCUUGGAGUCUCUUGCCCUACUUGGACUCGUUCUUAUCAAGGCCAGUCCUCUGUCCACGCUUCCCUCCUCCCUCCCUCCAACCCAGCCCUAGAAGGGGCUUUAGAUGAAAAUGGAGAGGUUAGCACACAAUCACCCCAGGGGCGCUGUCCAUUUUCGGUCUC
Molecule: non-coding RNA, 626 nt
Organism: Peromyscus maniculatus bairdii (prairie deer mouse)
Lineage: Eukaryota; Metazoa; Chordata; Mammalia; Rodentia; Cricetidae
Source: RefSeq, a predicted model, not a curated record